This is a long non-coding RNA of Pezoporus occidentalis (night parrot), 1374 nucleotides long. RefSeq lists it as uncharacterized. Lineage: Eukaryota; Metazoa; Chordata; Aves; Psittaciformes; Psittacidae. The record is from RefSeq and is a predicted model, not a curated record. The transcript has 3 exons.
GAGAACUCUGACCCAUUCUUAUGUAGGAUUUAUGGCCUUAAAUCCCAUUGUUGGCUGGGUGUGAAAAUACCAGGCCUGUAAGGCAUAGUCUGGCAUUGUUGCAGUGGGGAGCUUUCUUCUUCAGCUUGGUACAUAAGUCCUUGAGAGUGUUUAUUUUAUAGAUGAGUGCUUGUCUUUAUCACCCUAUCUUUCUGUUGCUGAAUACUAAUGUUUUACAAGGAAGAAAGAACAAGGGAACAAGUGGGAAGAAGAUGCAAGAAUCAUUCCAGGUUAAUAGGGCUUUCCUAUUCAUCCUUUUGGUCAAGACACGUUGUUUCAGAGACAAUCACUGGAGUGUGUCAUUGGAGCUGCCAGCCCAUGUUGCCCAAUGAAAAAAUGCUUUUUGAGCAAGCCUUGCGCUGUCCUGUGCAGUGCAGCUACAAUCAAGUGAAAUUGGGUUAAGCUGUAAGAUUUACUGCUUUUGCUUUCCAUUUGGUGAACUCAUGAGUUUUUCCUGUGUGAAUGGGAACAUGUGACCUUUUUGGUUGCUGCCUUUCAAUCCGUGCACGUACCACCUUUCUUCAGUGUUACAGGCUACUAAUGAUUCAUUGACCACAAGCUCAGUUAUUGUAUUCCACGUGAUCCCCCCCCCCCAAGCAAAAAUUAUUCCCAAGAGCAAUGUAUUUCCAUGCAAGACCCAUGUUAUUUGCUGUAUGCGUCUUUGUUCUUCUCCUGAAGGUAGCAGAUAUUUUUGUUGUACUAUUCCGAUUUUGGUAUUGUCCUAUCCUUUGUUUCCAGAGGAAAUGAAAAGUUCCUUAUGGGUAAUCUGAUUGCAAUGUUGUGUGUAUGUGUAUGUGUGGGUGACAUCAUUCCUUACCAUUAUGGGUUACUAAUAAAGUGUAUGAUGUGCAACUUGAUUGGAGCCAAGGUUACCGUUAUUGGCAGCUGCUGAUACAGCUGAUGGGGUAAAAAUGAUUCCUGGUUUUUCCUUAGAAGCUGCCAUUUAAUGUAGGAAAAAAUAAUGCUCAGUCUUCCUUGACAGAAAACGCCAGAAACCUCAUCAGGUGGGGAUGACUCGGGGGACAGCUUGGCAGUGGAGGCAAGUCCUGACUGACCUUUGGUGCCGCCACUGGCAGCUCUGCUGUGAUAAGGGCUGCAAGUCCAGAUGGCUGCUGAAGAAAUCUCCUUUCUAGUAGCGAGGGUUUUUAGCCACUGCCUUUCUUUCCUACCUGUACUUUUAUUAUGCAGUUCCCUGCACGUUCUAGUGCUUGUGCUGGGUAGUUUGCCCUCUGAUUAACGGUUAAAGAAGUAGUAAGCAGCCCAAAAAUGGUUGCUGGCUUAUAUGGAAGGUUACAUUAGUGUUUUUAUUGCCUGUUGUGGAGACCAAAUCAUGUG